RNAcentral lists this long non-coding RNA (270 nucleotides) under Elaeis guineensis (African oil palm). RNAcentral's name for it is "long non-coding RNA (EGUI_LNC003760)". The record is from RNAcentral. Lineage: Eukaryota; Viridiplantae; Streptophyta; Magnoliopsida; Arecales; Arecaceae.
UGGGCCUUGUGGUAGUAGGUGGGAGUCAUUUCUUUGAUAUCUUGAUCUUCGAGAGUAAAGUUAUUUGGGCUAGUAUCACCUAGGAGGGUAGAUUCUGGGGGCUAAUCAUCUCAUUGUCAAAGAUGAUUCCACUACAAAGGCAUAGUAGAUCCAGAGUUAGUCAGAGUCUGUGCACUCUCAUCCUCUACUAUGAGACAUUCAGAGGAUGAUGCAGGGGUACGUCUCCUCGUAGGCCUGACAUAUUUUGUGGGUAUAGCUCCCCAUUCUAGC